GGCGCACGGGUGCGUAACACGUGGGUAAUCUGCCCUCUGAUGGGGAAUAACCCGCCGAAAGGCGGGCUAAUUCCGCAUAAUAUUCCGAGAACUUCGGUUUUUGGACUGAAAGGCGUAAGUCGUCGGAGGAGGAGCCCGCGCCCGAUUAGCUAGUUGGUAGGGUAAUGGCCUACCAAGGCUUUGAUCGGUAGCUGGUCUGAGAGGAUGGCCAGCCACACUGGAACUGAGACACGGUCCAGACUCAUACGGGAGGCAGCAGUGGGGAAUCUUGCACAAUGGGCGGAAGCCUGAUGCAGCGACGCCGCGUGGGGGAUGAAGCUUCUCGGAGUGUAAACCCCUUUCGAUCCGGACGAAUACCUCGCAAGAGGGGUGACGGUACGGAUAUAAGAAGCCCCGGCUAACUACGUGCC
RNAcentral lists this ribosomal RNA (410 nucleotides) under uncultured bacterium. RNAcentral describes it as "bacterial SSU rRNA". It matches the Rfam family "Bacterial small subunit ribosomal RNA", at positions 97 to 509 of the family's 1533-position model. The record is from RNAcentral.